RNAcentral lists this ribosomal RNA (254 nucleotides) under uncultured bacterium. RNAcentral's name for it is "partial 16S ribosomal RNA". It matches the Rfam family "Bacterial small subunit ribosomal RNA", at positions 524 to 776 of the family's 1533-position model. The record is from RNAcentral.
UACGAAGGGGGCUAGCGUUGCUCGGAAUCACUGGGCGUAAAGCGCACGUAGGCGGAUUGCUAAGUCAGGGGUGAAAUCCUGGAGCUCAACUCCAGAACUGCCUUUGAUACUGGCGACCUUGAGUCCGGGAGAGGUGAGUGGAACUGCGAGUGUAGAGGUGAAAUUCGUAGAUAUUCGCAAAGAACACCAGUGGCGAAGGCGGCUCACUGGCCCGAUACUGACGCUGAGGUGCGAAAGCGUGGGGAGCAAACAGG